UACGUAGGGUGCGAGCGUUAAUCGGAAUUACUGGGCGUAAAGCGUGCGCAGGCGGUUUUGUAAGCCAGGUGUGAAAUCCCCGGGCUCAACCUGGGAAUGGCAUUUGGGACUGCAAGGCUGGAGUGCGGCAGAGGAGACUGGAAUUCCGCGUGUAGCAGUGAAAUGCGUAGAGAUGCGGAGGAACACCGAUGGCGAAGGCAGCCCCCUGGGCUAGCACUGACGCUCAGGCACGAAAGCGUGGGGAGCAAACAGG
RNAcentral lists this ribosomal RNA (253 nucleotides) under uncultured bacterium. Its description in RNAcentral is "partial 16S ribosomal RNA". It matches the Rfam family "Bacterial small subunit ribosomal RNA", at positions 524 to 776 of the family's 1533-position model. The record is from RNAcentral.